This 332-nucleotide unclassified non-coding RNA is filed under the name soil metagenome. RNAcentral's name for it is "partial contains 5.8S ribosomal RNA, internal transcribed spacer 2, and large subunit ribosomal RNA". The stretch from base 1 to 120 matches the Rfam family "5.8S ribosomal RNA", at positions 35 to 154 of the family's 154-position model. The record is from RNAcentral.
GAUGAAGAACGUAGCGAAAUGCGAUAAGUAGUGUGAAUUGCAGAAUUCAGUGAAUCAUCGAAUCUUUGAACGCACAUUGCGCCCUUUGGUAUUCCUUAGGGCAUGCCUGUUCGAGAGUCAUUUAAACCUUCAAGCUAAGCUUGGUGUUGGGUGACUGUCCGCUUCACGGCGGACUCGCCUCAAAAUUAUUGGCGGCCGGUACAUUGGCUUCGAGCGCAGCAGAAACGCGAACUCGGGCCCGUCGUAUUGGCUCCCAGAAGCUAUCUUCACAAUUUUGACCUCGGAUCAGGUAGGGAUACCCGCUGAACUUAAGCAUAUCAAUAAGCGGAGGA